GACGAACGCUGGCGGCGUGCUUAACACAUGCCAGUCGAACGGAAAGGCCCCUUUGGGGGUACUCGAGUGGCGAACGGGUGAGUAACACGUGAGUAACCUGCCCUCGACUUCGGGAUAACUUCAUGAAACUGGGGCUAAUACCGGAUAGGAAUCCUUGCUUCAUGGUGGGGGUUGGAAAGCUUCGGCGGUUUUGGAUGGACUCGCGGCUUAUCAGCUUGUUGGUGGGGUAGUGGCUUACCAAGGCUUUGACGGGUAGCCGGCCUGAGAGGGCGACCGGCCAAAUUGGGACUGGGAUACGGCCCAGACUCCUACGGGAGGCAGCAGUGAGGAAUAUUGCACAAUGGGCGGGAGCCUGAUGCAGCAACGCCGCGUGCGGGAUGACGGCCUUCGGGUUGGAAACCGCUUUCAGCAGGGGCGAAGCUUGUGGUGACGGUACCUGCAGAAGAAGCACCGGCUAACUACGUG
This 465-nucleotide ribosomal RNA is filed under the name uncultured bacterium. RNAcentral describes it as "partial 16S ribosomal RNA". It matches the Rfam family "Bacterial small subunit ribosomal RNA", at positions 28 to 507 of the family's 1533-position model. The record is from RNAcentral.